AAAUAGAUACCCAGGUAGUCCACGCCGUAAACGAUGUCGACUUGGAGGUUGUUCCCUUGAGGAGUGGCUUCCGGAGCUAACGCGUUAAGUCGACCGCCUGGGGAGUACGGCCGCAAGGUUAAAACUCAAAUGAAUUGACGGGGGGCCCGCACAAGCGGUGGAGCAUGUGGUUUAAUUCGAUGCAACGCGAAGAACCUUACCUACUCUUGACAUCCAGAGAACUUAGCAGAGAUGCUUUGGUGCCUUCGGGAACUCUGAGACAGGUGCUGCAUGGCUGUCGUCAGCUCGUGUUGUGAAAUGUUGGGUUAAGUCCCGCAACGAGCGCAACCCUUAUCCUUUGUUGCCAGCGGUUCGGCCGGGAACUCAAAGGAGACUGCCAGUGAUAAACUGGAGGAAGGUGGGGAUGACGUCAAGUCAUCAUGGCCCUUACGAGUAGGGCUACACACGUGCUACAAUGGCGUAUACAAAGAGAAGCGACCUCGCGAGAGCAAGCGGACCUCAUAAAGUACGUCGUAGUCCGGAUUGGAGUCUGC
Molecule: ribosomal RNA, 533 nt
Filed under: uncultured bacterium
Lineage: Bacteria
Description: bacterial SSU rRNA
Rfam family: Bacterial small subunit ribosomal RNA
Source: RNAcentral